ACCCUGGCCGGGGUGCUUACACAUGCGAGUCGAACGGUGAAGCAGAGCUUGCUCUGUGGAUCAGUGGCGAACGGGUGAGUAACACGUGAGCAACCUGCCCCGGACUCUGGGAUAAGCGCUGGAAACGGCGUCUAAUACCGGAUACGAGACAAGACGGCAUCGUCAUUGUCUGGAAAGAUUUUUUGGUCUGGGAUGGGCUCGCGGCCUAUCAGCUUGUUGGUGAGGUAAUGGCUCACCAAGGCGUCGACGGGUAGCCGGCCUGAGAGGGUGACCGGCCACACUGGGACUGAGACACGGCCCAGACUCCUACGGGAGGCAGCAGUGGGGAAUAUUGCACAAUGGGCGAAAGCCUGAUGCAGCAACGCCGCGUGAGGGAUGACGGCCUUCGGGUUGUAAACCUCUUUUAGCAGGGAAGAAGCGAAAGUGACGGUACCUGCAGAAAAAGCGCCGGCUAACUACGUGCCAGCAGCCGCGGUAAUACGUAGGGCGCAAGCGUUAUCCGGAAUUAUUGGGCGUAAAGAGCUCGUAGGCGGUUUGUCGCGUCUGCUGUGAAAUCCCGAGGCUCAACCUCGGGCCUGCAGUGGGUACGGGCAGACUAGAGUGCGGUAGGGGAGAUUGGAAUUCCUGGUGUAGCGGUGGAAUGCGCAGAUAUCAGGAGGAACACCGAUGGCGAAGGCAGAUCUCUGGGCCGUAACUGACGCUGAGGAGCGAAAGGGUGGGGAGCAAACAGGCUUAGAUACCCUGGUAGUCCACCCCGUAAACGUUGGGAACUAGUUGUGGGGUCCAUUCCACGGAUUCCGUGACGCAGCUAACGCAUUAAGUUCCCCGCCUGGGGAGUACGGCCGCAAGGCUAAAACUCAAAGGAAUUGACGGGGACCCGCACAAGCGGCGGAGCAUGCGGAUUAAUUCGAUGCAACGCGAAGAACCUUACCAAGGCUUGACAUAUACGAGAACACUUCAGAAAUGAAGGACUCUUUGGACACUCGUAUACAGGUGGUGC
Molecule: ribosomal RNA, 1000 nt
Filed under: Microbacterium sp. HBUM178485
Lineage: Bacteria; Bacillati; Actinomycetota; Actinomycetes; Micrococcales; Microbacteriaceae
Description: bacterial SSU rRNA
Rfam family: Bacterial small subunit ribosomal RNA
Source: RNAcentral